Molecule: ribosomal RNA, 468 nt
Filed under: uncultured bacterium
Lineage: Bacteria
Description: partial 16S ribosomal RNA
Rfam family: Bacterial small subunit ribosomal RNA
Source: RNAcentral
GACGAACGCUGGCGGCGUGCUUAACACAUGCAAGUCGAACGGAAAGGCCCUGCUUUUGUGGGGUGCCCGAGUGGCGAAAGGGUGAGUAACACGUGAGUAACCUGCCCUUGACUUUGGGAUAACUUCAGGAAACUGGGGCUAAUACCGGAUAGGAGCUCCUGCUGCAUGGUGGGGGUUGGAAAGUUUCGGCGGUUGGGGAUGGACUCGCGGCUUAUCAGCUUGUUGGUGGGGUAGUGGCUUACCAAGGCUUUGACGGGUAGACGGCCUGAGAGGGUGACCGGCCACAUUGGGACUGAGAGACGGCCCAGACUCCUACGGGAGGCAGCAGUGGGGAAUAUGGCACAAUGGGCGGAAGCCUGAUGCAGCAACGCCGCGUGCGGGAUGACGGCCUUCUGGUUGUAAACCGCUUUCGCCUGUGACGAAGCGUGAGUGACGGUAAUGGGUAAAGAAGCACCGGCUAACUACGUG